GUUUGAUCCUGGCUCAAGAUGAACGCUAGCGGCAGGCUUAACACAUGCAAGUCGGGCGGCAGCGGGGUGGGAGCUUGCUCCCACUGCCGGCGAGCGGCGCACGGGUGAGUAACACGUAUGCAACCUGCCCCUGUCAGGGGGACAACCCGCCGAAAGGCGGGCUAAGCCCGCGUAUAUCGCCCCGGGGCAUCCCGGGGGGAGGAAAGGAGCGAUCCGGACAGGGAUGGGCAUGCGGCGCAUUAGCUGGUCGGCGGGGUAACGGCCCACCGAGGCGACGAUGCGUAGGGGUUCUGAGAGGAAGGCCCCCCACACUGGUACUGAGACACGGACCAGACUCCUACGGGAGGCAGCAGUAGGGAAUUUUCGUCAAUGGGCGCAAGCCUGAACGAGCAAUGCCGCGUGAACGAGGAAGGUCUUCGGAUCGUAAAGUUCUGUUGAAGGGGAAAAAGAGCGGAGAGAGGAAAUGAACUCCGAUUGAUAUUACCCUUCGAGGAAGUCACGGCUAACUACGUGCCAGCAGCCGCGGUAAUACGUAGGUGGCGAGCGUUAUCCGGAAUGAUUGGGCGUAAAGGGUGCGUAGGCGGCCUGCUAAGUCUGGAGUGAAAGGUACCGGCUCAACCGGUAUAGGCUCUGGAAACUGGCGGGCUAGAGAGCAGGAGAGGGCGGUGGAACUCCAUGUGUAGCGGUAAAAUGCGUAGAUAUAUGGAAGAACACCAGUGGCGAAGGCGGCCGCCUGGCCUGUUACUGACGCUGAGGCACGAAAGCGUGGGGAGCAAAUAGGAUUAGAUACCCUAGUAGUCCACGCCGUAAACGAGGAGGACCAAGUGUUGGGGAAGACCCAGUGCUGCAGUUAACGCAGUGAGUCCUCCGCCUGGGGAGUAUGCACGCAAGUGUGAAACUCAAAGGAAUUGACGGGGGCCCGCACAAGCGGUGGAGUAUGUGGUUUAAUUCGAAGCAACGCGAAGAACCUUACCAGGCCUUGAUAUAGGGUGCGAAGCUGUGGAGACAUAGUGGAGGUAAACAUCCAUACAGGUGGUGCAUGGUUGUCGUCAGCUCGUGUCGUGAGAUGUUCAGUUAAGUCUGGCAACGAGCGCAACCCUCGUGAUGUGUUACCAAUAUCGAGUUAGGGACUCACAUCAGACUGCCGGUGAGAAACCGGAGGAAGGCGGGGAUGACGUCAAAUCAUCAUGCCCCUUAUGGCCUGGGCUACACACGUACUACAAUGGCGGCGACAGAGGGCAGCGAGCCUGCGAAGGCAAGCGAAUCCCAAAAAAGCCGUCCCAGUUCGGAUUGGAGUCUGCAACCCGACUCCAUGAAGUUGGAAUCGCUAGUAAUCGCGGAUCAGCAUGCCGCGGUGAAUACGUUCUCGGGCCUUGCACUCACCGCCCGUCAA
Molecule: ribosomal RNA, 1393 nt
Filed under: uncultured bacterium
Lineage: Bacteria
Description: bacterial SSU rRNA
Rfam family: Bacterial small subunit ribosomal RNA
Source: RNAcentral